UACAGAGGGUGCGAGCGUUGUCCGGAAUCACUGGGCGUAAAGGGCGCGUAGGUGGUGGCUUAAGCGUGCGGUGAAAGCUCGGGGCUCAACCCCGAGUCGGCCGUGUGAACUGGGCUCACUGGAGCAUAGUAGAGGCAGGUGGAAUUCCGGGUGUAGCGGUGGAAUGCGUAGAGAUCCGGAAGAACACCGGUGGCGAAGGCGGCCUGCUGGGCUAUGGCUGACACUGAGGCGCGACAGCGUGGGGAGCAAACAGG
RNAcentral lists this ribosomal RNA (254 nucleotides) under uncultured bacterium. RNAcentral describes it as "partial 16S ribosomal RNA". It matches the Rfam family "Bacterial small subunit ribosomal RNA", at positions 524 to 776 of the family's 1533-position model. The record is from RNAcentral.